UGCCCCAUCCAUUCGGGGUAACUCUAUCGUGACUAGCGUGAAUGGUAACGUUUGGGUUAGAAAGCUCACGAGACAAUGUGGAAGUUCGAG
Non-coding RNA from Clostridium puniceum, 90 nucleotides. The record is from Rfam. Lineage: Bacteria; Bacillati; Bacillota; Clostridia; Eubacteriales; Clostridiaceae.